CCCUAAAGGUCACUAGCUGUUGGGGCCUUCGGGCCUUGGUAGCGCAGCUAACGCGUGAAGUUGACCGCCUGGGGAGUACGGUCGCAAGAUUAAAACUCAAAGGAAUUGACGGGGACCCGCACAAGCGGUGGAUGAUGUGGAUUAAUUCGAUGCAACGCGAAAAACCUUACCUACCCUUGACAUGUCUGGAAUGCCGAAAAGAUUUGGUUUCUGCUCGCAAGAUAACCGGAACACAGGUGCUGCAUGGCUGUCGUCAGCUCGUGUCGUGAGAUGUUGGGUUAAGUCCCGCAACGAGCGCGACCCUUGUCAUUAGUUGCUACUAAAGGGCACUCUAAUGACACUGCCGGUGACAAACCGGAAGAAGGUGGGGAUGACGUCAAGUCCUCAUGGCCCUUAUGGGUAGGGCUUCACACGUCAUACUGUGGUCGGGACAGAGGGUCGCCAACCCGCGAGGGGGAGCCUAUCCCAGAAACCCGAUCGUACUCCGGAUCGCAGUCUGCAACUCGACUGCGUGAAGUCGGAAUCGCUAGUAAUCGCGGAUCAGCGUGUCGCGGUGAAUACGUUCCCGGGUCGUGUACACACCGCCCGUCACACCGUGGGAGUGGGUUUUACCAGAAGUAGUUAGCCUAACCGCAAGGGGGGCGAUUACCACGGUAGGAUUCAUGACUGGGGUGAAGUCGUACAAGGGUAACCAACCCAGCGGCCACUCGUUUGGGUGGGGAAAGAAUGGGUGGGCAGCCC
This 741-nucleotide ribosomal RNA is filed under the name Achromobacter xylosoxidans. RNAcentral's name for it is "bacterial SSU rRNA". It matches the Rfam family "Bacterial small subunit ribosomal RNA", at positions 800 to 1533 of the family's 1533-position model. Lineage: Bacteria; Pseudomonadati; Pseudomonadota; Betaproteobacteria; Burkholderiales; Alcaligenaceae. The record is from RNAcentral.